UGCCCAGCAACUCCUAUCCCUACCUCCACGCGGUACCGGCCGGAAACUAUGAGCAACCUUAGGGAAGAUCGGGUAACCAACCCCAGUGGGAACUUUGGUCGUAGGCUGACAGGGAAGG
Non-coding RNA from Aedes albopictus (Asian tiger mosquito), 118 nucleotides. Lineage: Eukaryota; Metazoa; Arthropoda; Insecta; Diptera; Culicidae. The record is from Rfam.